RNAcentral lists this ribosomal RNA (468 nucleotides) under uncultured bacterium. RNAcentral's name for it is "partial 16S ribosomal RNA". It matches the Rfam family "Bacterial small subunit ribosomal RNA", at positions 28 to 507 of the family's 1533-position model. The record is from RNAcentral.
GACGAACGCUGGCGGCGUGCUUAACACAUGCAAGUCGAACGGAAAGGCCCUGCUUUUGUGGGUUGCUCGAGUGGCGAACGGGUGAGUAACACUUGAGUAACCUGCCCUUGACUUUGGGAUAACUUCAGGAAACUGGGGCUAAUACCGGAUAGGAGCUCCUGCUGCAUGGUGGGGGUUGGAAAGUUUCGGCGGUUGGGGAUGGACUCGCGGCCUAUCAGCUUGUUGGUGGGGUAGUGGCUUACCAAGGCUUUGACGGGUAGCCGGCCUGAGAGGGUGACCGGCCACAUUGGGACUGAGAUACGGCCCAGACUCCUACGGGAGGCAGCAGUGGGGAAUAUUGCACAAUGGGCGGAAGCCUGAUGCAGCAACGCCGCGUGCGGGAUGACGGCCUUCGGGUUGUAAACCGCCUUCGCCUGUGACGAAGCGUGAGUGACGGUAAUGGGUAAAGAAGCACCGGCUAACUACGUG